AAAAAUAUAGAGAGCUGUGAAGUUUUCAUAGACUAUACAAGUCUUCUAUAAAUGGAGCUCAUUAGCUCAUUUAUAGAAUACACCAAUUCACAGAGAAAAAAAAAUAUAGAGAGCUGUGAGGUUUUCAUAGACUAUACAAGAAAAUAGUCUGUGAAGAAAAAUAGAGUGUGAGCGAUAUUUUAGUAAGGUGAAAAUCAAAAGAGUGUUAUUCCUUUUGAGUGUGUAGUAGUCACUUUGAGUAUUGUAUUCGUGACUACACGAUGUAAAAUUCCUUACUAUAGUGAUAUCAGUUGCUCCUCUUGGCCCGUGAUUUUUCCCUUAUUAAAAAGGGUUUCCACGUAAAA
This 344-nucleotide long non-coding RNA is filed under the name Solanum tuberosum (potato). RNAcentral describes it as "long non-coding RNA (STUB_LNC009386)". Lineage: Eukaryota; Viridiplantae; Streptophyta; Magnoliopsida; Solanales; Solanaceae. The record is from RNAcentral.